RNAcentral lists this ribosomal RNA (253 nucleotides) under uncultured bacterium. RNAcentral's name for it is "partial 16S ribosomal RNA". It matches the Rfam family "Bacterial small subunit ribosomal RNA", at positions 524 to 776 of the family's 1533-position model. The record is from RNAcentral.
UACAGAGGGUGCGAGCGUUAAUCGGAAUUACUGGGCGUAAAGCGUGCGUAGACGGUUAUUUAAGUCGGGUGUGAAAGCCCCGGGCUCAACCUGGGAAUUGCAUUCGAGACUGAAUAGCUAGGGUACGGUAGAGGGAAGCGGAAUUUCCGGUGUAGCGGUGAAAUGCGUAGAUAUCGGAAGGAACAUCAGUGGCGAAAGCGGCUUCCUGGACCAGUACCGACGUUCAGGCACGAAAGCGUGGGGAGCGAACCGG